Molecule: long non-coding RNA, 580 nt
Filed under: Nicotiana benthamiana
Lineage: Eukaryota; Viridiplantae; Streptophyta; Magnoliopsida; Solanales; Solanaceae
Description: long non-coding RNA (NBEN_LNC023935)
Source: RNAcentral
UUCCACAGUUCAGAGAUAAGCGAACCCUACAGUUGCACAUUUUGAGAUCUUCCUUUUCAAUUCAAGUUCACUUCAUCCGAUUCAAGUUAAGUUCGUCCGAUUCAAGUUUAGUUCGUCCCUACUCAGUUUAAUUUCGAAUCAACUCAUAUUGAUUUGGGGUAAGUCAAAUCUUUAUUUCAGAUAAUUUUUAUAAACAUAAGCUUUGAGAUUUGGUUAAUUUUUUUCAUUUAAUUUUGUAUCAUAAGCUAAUAACUAUUGACACCCUCCUUCUUGUCCUUAUUGUAUAUCUGCCAGUACUGGCAUUAUGAGCAUGUCAACUUAACGUAUUGUGUGUUUAGUAGCAUGUCAAAAUGCUACACAGUUCACUGAAACUGGUGUAAAACUUUUUGAUGGGAGAUCAUUGACUGUCUCCCGGUUAACUAGACAGAAACUGUUAGUUACAACUUUCUAUAUCAUGUGCAGUGACUCUCUUUUCGGAUGGAAACUACAUCUUCUGCACCGGAUGUGAAGAUGAUUAUCAAUAUUCCUCCGACUAUGCCAACGACAUCUCAACAGCAAGGUACAGGAAUUCCUCAUGGAC